This is a long non-coding RNA of Hyaena hyaena (striped hyena), 297 nucleotides long. RefSeq lists it as uncharacterized. The record is from RefSeq and is a predicted model, not a curated record. The transcript has 3 exons. Lineage: Eukaryota; Metazoa; Chordata; Mammalia; Carnivora; Hyaenidae.
ACCAAAUUCCCUAGAGAUGGCUUACCACACAACUCCGUGCACCCUUUCUUCUGAGUUUUCUUCUCUUAACAACAACUAACAAACACCAGCUUCCUGGGCUGAUUGGCAGCCUGGCUUUCUGCUGGAUGUGCGUACCUCUGGGCCAGGAGAUGUUCCAGACAAGCUCCAAUUUCACCCUUUUAUGACUGUAAAGGAAAUGGGGACACCUAGACCCCUGAAGCUGCCCUGGAGAAGCCAGGAGUAAAUGAGCAUCUGAAUCUGACAACCACACACCACGCUCUCCGGCAUCACCACAGU